CCCAGUGCACAGGAACAACUCGGUAGCCAAGGUUAGCGCGGCGCCGCCGACCAGAGGAGUGAAGACCUUCCAACAGCCUGAUGGCCUUCCCUAAGAAGAAACUCCAGGGUCUUGUUGCUGCCACCAUCACUCCAAUGACAGAGAAUGGACGCAGCCUGGGACAGACCCUUUGCCUGCACGAUAAUGGCCAUGCGCCACACAUGAUUUUGCAUUGCACAUAACUCCUUCUUGGACACCCGACACGACGGGAGCAGGCACUUCCCCAUCUGAGAGUCAUUGACCCAUUGGAGAGAAAUCAACUUUCCUGUCAUUGGUCAGUAUGUGGAUUACUUGGUGAAGGAACAGGGAGUGAAGAACAUUUUCGUACAUAAGCAGAUUAUUAAUCCUUCUAAACAUGAAAAUUUGAUGUACUGAGUCCUUUUAUAGUGAACUCCAAUGGCCAAUAAAGAUCUAAAGUCACAUUAAUUAGAGUGGAACACAAACUAUGUCCCAUUUUCCUUGCUUUAUGGGUCUGUUGGUUUUUCUUUAUAUUUCAUUUCAAUGUAAUGGACCAAAGUGUCAUCCAACACUAAUAAAGGGAUGCAUAAAUUUUUAUAGUUACAUUUUGUACAAACAAUUGCCACUACUGUUAAUACCUAAAGCCUCACCCCUACCUCUAUCCUGGGGUAGGAUCUAAUUAAAAUUAAUAUAUUCCAUGUGUAAAACAAAAUAAAUACAAAUAAAGGAAUCUCAAGCCCU
This 738-nucleotide long non-coding RNA is filed under the name Rattus norvegicus (Norway rat). Its description in RNAcentral is "long non-coding RNA NONRATT008824". The record is from RNAcentral. Lineage: Eukaryota; Metazoa; Chordata; Mammalia; Rodentia; Muridae.